GUGCUCUUUUCGACAGUACAUAUACUAAAUUGGAACAAUACAGAGAAGAUUAGUAUGGUCCCUAUGCAAGGAUGACACGCAAAUUCGUGAAGCAUUCCAUAUAUUU
This is a small nuclear RNA of Suncus etruscus (white-toothed pygmy shrew), 106 nucleotides long. Lineage: Eukaryota; Metazoa; Chordata; Mammalia; Eulipotyphla; Soricidae. The record is from RefSeq and is a predicted model, not a curated record.